Molecule: ribosomal RNA, 721 nt
Filed under: uncultured Bacteroidales bacterium
Lineage: Bacteria; Pseudomonadati; Bacteroidota; Bacteroidia; Bacteroidales
Description: bacterial SSU rRNA
Rfam family: Bacterial small subunit ribosomal RNA
Source: RNAcentral
ACACAUGCAAGUCGAGGGGCAGCAUGGUCUUAGCUUGCUAAGGCCGAUGGCGACCGGCGCACGGGUGAGUAACACGUAUCCAACCUGCCGUCUACUCUUGGACAGCCUUCUGAAAGGAAGAUUAAUACAAGAUGGCAUCAUGAGUUCACAUGUUCACAUGAUUAAAGGUAUUCCGGUAGACGAUGGGGAUGCGUUCCAUUAGAUAGUAGGCGGGGUAACGGCCCACCUAGUCUUCGAUGGAUAGGGGUUCUGAGAGGAAGGUCCCCCACAUUGGAACUGAGACACGGUCCAAACUCCUACGGGAGGCAGCAGUGAGGAAUAUUGGUCAAUGGGCGAGAGCCUGAACCAGCCAAGUAGCGUGAAGGAUGACUGCCCUAUGGGUUGUAAACUUCUUUUAUAAAGGAAUAAAGUCAGGUAUGCAUACCCGUUUGCAUGUACUUUAUGAAUAAGGAUCGGCUAACUCCGUGCCAGCAGCCGCGGUAAUACGGAGGAUCCGAGCGUUAUCCGGAUUUAUUGGGUUUAAAGGGAGCGUAGAUGGAUGUUUAAGUCAGUUGUGAAAGUUUGCGGCUCAACCGUAAAAUUGCAGUUGAUACUGGAUAUCCUGAGUGCAGUUGAGGCAGGCGGAAUUCGUGGUGUAGCGGUGAAAUGCUUAGAUAUCACGAAGAACUCCGAUUGCGAAGGCAGCCUGCUAAGCUGCAACUGACAUUGAGGCUCGAAAGUG